UGGGGAAUAUUGGACAAUGGGCGCAAGCCUGAUCCAGCAAUACCUCGUGUGUGAAGAAGGCCCUAGGGUUGUAAAGCACUUUCAAUUGGGAAGAAAAGAUUAAGAUUAAUACUCUUAGUCCUUGACGGUACCUUUAGAAGAAGCACCGGCUAACUCCGUGCCAGCAGCCGCGGUAAUACGGAGGGUGCAAGCGUUAAUCGGAAUUACUGGGCGUAAAGCGCGCGUAGGUGGUUUAGUAAGUCAGAUGUGAAAGCCCCGGGCUUAACCUGGGAACUGCAUUUGAUACUGCUUAACUAGAGUAUGGUAGAGGGAAGUGGAAUUCCACAUGUAGCGGUGAAAUGCGUAGAGAU
RNAcentral lists this ribosomal RNA (350 nucleotides) under uncultured bacterium. Its description in RNAcentral is "bacterial SSU rRNA". It matches the Rfam family "Bacterial small subunit ribosomal RNA", at positions 355 to 697 of the family's 1533-position model. The record is from RNAcentral.